ACGGGAGGCAGCAGUGAGGAAUAUUGGACAAUGGCCGGAAGGCUGAUCCAGCCAUGCCGCGUGAAGGCAGACGGUCCUAUGGAUUGUAAACUUCUUUUGUACGGGAGCAAUAAGGUGGACGAGUCCAUCGAUGAGAGUACCGUACGAAUAAGCAUCGGCUAACUCCGUGCCAGCAGCCGCGGUAAUACGGAGGAUGCGAGCGUUAUCCGGAUUUAUUGGGUUUAAAGGGUGCGUAGGCGGACUGGUAAGUCAGCGGUGAAACGCAGGUGCUCAACACCUGACCUGCCGUUGAUACUGCUGGUCUUGAAUGCGGAUGCUGUGGGAGGAAUGUGUGGUGUAGCGGUGAAAUGCAUAGAUAUCACACAGAACACCGAUUGCGAAGGCAUCUCACAAAUCCGCGAUUGACGCUGAGGCACGAAAGUGCGGGGAUCGAACAGGAUUAGAUACCCUGGUA
This 454-nucleotide ribosomal RNA is filed under the name uncultured Porphyromonadaceae bacterium. RNAcentral's name for it is "partial 16S ribosomal RNA". It matches the Rfam family "Bacterial small subunit ribosomal RNA", at positions 341 to 792 of the family's 1533-position model. Lineage: Bacteria; Pseudomonadati; Bacteroidota; Bacteroidia; Bacteroidales; Porphyromonadaceae. The record is from RNAcentral.